UACGAAGGGUGCUAGCGUUGUUCGGAAUCACUGGGCGUAAAGCGCACGUAGGCGGACUGCACAGUCAGGCGUGAAAUUCCUGGGCUUAACCUGGGGACUGCGUCUGAGACGUGUGAUCUAGAGUGAGGAAGAGGGUCGUGGAAUUUCCAGUGUAGAGGUGAAAUUCGUAGAUAUUGGAAAGAACACCGGUGGCGAAGGCGGCGACCUGGUCCGUGACUGACGCUGAGGCGCGAAAGCGUGGGGAGCAAACAGG
RNAcentral lists this ribosomal RNA (253 nucleotides) under uncultured bacterium. Its description in RNAcentral is "partial 16S ribosomal RNA". It matches the Rfam family "Bacterial small subunit ribosomal RNA", at positions 524 to 776 of the family's 1533-position model. The record is from RNAcentral.